GGGACCCCAAUAAUGCUAUAAGCAGAGGUUAUUUGAUGUCAAUUCCAGACAGGACGACGACAGCACUGUCCAGACUGAGUAUCAAAGGAUUAAUCAUUUGGAUUUACUCUGAGCCAAAGACAAUCCAUACAGCAUAACACUCAUUCCACAAUGCUGCUUAAAUUCAUGAGGUCUGGGAAAACAUGUUUUAUGGGCAGCACAGGACUGGGAUAUACUAUACAGGGUCUUCCACCCCUGCUUUUUGACCGGCGGAUGUGUCAUCUGAGGCCAUCCUAGAAUCACAAAUAGCAAAACAAAACGCAUUUUGAUGUAACAAACAACAAUGCACCACCAGCACAGCCUUUUUUGGAAUCUGCUGUAAUCAGGCCCCCGUGAGCUGUGGGACUGCAGUGAAAGUUUGGUUAGGGGGAUUCUCCUAGGAUCAGCCCACCACAACCAUGCAAAGAUUGCUGUGCAAGUUUUAUUUCGAGUGCUGCUGAGGAUUUGUGGGAACAAAGGAAAUUUAUUCUGGGAGAACCUCAUUGACAAUAUCCAACAAGAAAAUCCCUAGCAUGACCACGACUGACAGAUCCUUCUCACUGAAACUGAUUAAAAGUAAGCAAUGAGCAAUAUAAUAAUGAAGAAAUGCUGAAGCUUAUUUCUUCAGAAAUAUUGUGUCCGGCUGAUGUGUCUCGGUUCCCAUAUUAGGGCAGAUGCGAAUGUGUGUGUAUAAAAAUAGUUCAAGGCAUUCUCCACAGCCCAUCGCUUCAAAUCCCUCCGGAGAGCUUUUUAAUUUACAGAGCUGAGGGAAGCGUCUGUCUUCAGUUGAUAGGUGUGUAUCUGCUUGUGUGCGAGUGUUCCUGAAACCCUUGCUAUUAACUCACCAAUAGGUAGAUAUUCUGCAUGUUCAUCGCAUAUCACAGCUUCUUCUAUUUCCAAUUUCAGCUGGGAUAGAAGAAUUAAUUUCUAGUACCACUACAAGAUGAAACAGCAGGGAAAAACAAUGCCAGA
Cyprinus carpio carpio is the source of this 990-nucleotide long non-coding RNA. NCBI's taxonomy places the organism in Eukaryota, Metazoa, Chordata, Actinopteri, Cypriniformes, Cyprinidae. The record is from Ensembl.